GCUCCAUCGUCGGGAGAGAACAGGUAGCGCAGCAUGCCUGUCGCCGAAGGCGCAACCCCCAGGAAUCGCUCAGGCAAAAGGGCCGACGACGCAGU
RNAcentral lists this non-coding RNA (95 nucleotides) under Georgfuchsia toluolica. RNAcentral's name for it is "Glycine riboswitch aptamer". It matches the Rfam family "Glycine riboswitch aptamer". From Rfam's summary of the family: This family represents the bacterial glycine riboswitch. Glycine riboswitches usually consist of two metabolite-binding aptamers domains with similar structures in tandem. Lineage: Bacteria; Pseudomonadati; Pseudomonadota; Betaproteobacteria; Nitrosomonadales; Sterolibacteriaceae. The record is from Rfam by way of RNAcentral.